AAGCGCUAUUUCUUGAUAACGCUUUGUAACUAGCAAUGUCUUGCUAGUGGCGGUCUUUGACAAUUGAAUACGAAUGAACUUCAAGUUCGACUCAUGACCAAGAUUUAAUGGUCAAGCUACUAAGGGCACAUGGUGGAUGCCUUGGCAUUAGUAGGCGACGAAGGACGUGGUAAGCUGCGAUAAGCCUCGGGGAGCUGCAAACAAGCUUCGAUCCGGGGAUCUCCGAAUGGGGCAACCCCUCCCAGUAAAACUGGGAGACUACCUUCUGAAUUCAUAGGAAGGUCAGAGCGAACCCAGGGAAGUGAACCAUCUCAGCACCUGGAGGAAGAGAAAACAACAGUGAUUUCCAGAGUAGUGGCGAGCGAAAUGGAAACAGCCUAAACCGCCUGCGGGCAACCAAAGGCGGGGUUGCAGGACCGCAUGAGUAGAGUUACCAAUCAAGAGCCUAGCUGAACGAGUUGGAAAACUCGGCCAAAGAAUGUGAAAGCCAUGUAAGCAAAAGGCUCUUGACUCGAAGCGGGAUCCUAAGUACCGCGGGGCACGUGGAACCCUGUGGGAAUCCGGGAGGACCAUCUCCCAAGGCUAAACACUCACUAAUGACCGAUAGCGAACCAGUACCGUGAGGGAAAGGUGAAAAGAACCCCUGCGAGGGGAGUGAAAUAGUACCUGAAACCGUGUGCCUACAAGCAGUGGAAGGGCGUUGCCGCAAGGCAAGCCUGACCGCGUGCCUUUUGCAUAAUGAGCCGGCUAGUUA
Molecule: ribosomal RNA, 754 nt
Filed under: uncultured bacterium
Lineage: Bacteria
Description: bacterial LSU rRNA
Rfam family: Bacterial large subunit ribosomal RNA (bases 110-754)
Source: RNAcentral